GUACGAGACUACAUCACGCGCGCGGGGCUGCGGGAUCGCCUAAGGUUCGGCCUGCGCAUGUGCGGAGGUGAGGGGCCGGGUCUAGGGGAACCACACGCGGCUGUGCCUAGGGCUUCCUUUGUUCUGACGCCGGGAGGUCCGCGCUGCCUCCCAGAGGAGGAACCAGGCGAGAGCGGCUCACGGGGCUCACUGUCUUCGCUGUGUGCGCUAAGCUGGAUGCUCUGGAAAGUACCUGGUCUUACAGAGUUUGAACAAGAUGGUUAAGGAUUCUCCAGGUCUCCUGCCGACUCCUCUCUACAACAAGAUGCCUCAGGAUUGCAGGAACAGACUGCUCAGCAGAAUGGCUGGGAGGUAUGAGGUUGCUUUAACAAGUAAUUCCUUGGUUUGAGUAAUUUUAUUUUGAAAGAUUUAUUUUAUUGGAAAGAUAGAGUGACAGAGAGAGGAAGAGGGAUCUUCCAUCUGCUGGUUCAUUCCCCAAAUGUCAAAAGCUAGGGCUAAGCCAGCCUGAAGCUAGGAGCCAAUAACUGUUCAGGUUUCCUAUUUGGCAGGGACCCAAAUACUUGGGCCAUUAAAUACUGCCUCUUGGAUACAUGAGCAGCAAACUGAAUCAGAAGCAUGGAGUAGCCAAGACUCAAAGCAGAUAUUCUGAUAUGGGAUGUAGCCAUCCCAAACAGUGGCUUAACCCACUGCACCACGACACUCGCCCGUCUUCAUGUAUUUUAAUAUGCUCAGAGAGCUCACAGGUGGGAAUGCCAGUAACAACGGUGGGACCAUGCUGCUCUCUUGCCUUCUAGCACCCACACCUGGAUCUUAACAAGGGGCUGUCUUCCGGGUCUGUUCUGUUCUAUAGGGUGUCAAGGGGCACAGCUAACUGCCUCUAUUAUUCUGCAUACUUAAGGAUCAAGUAAUUUGGUUUGUUUUCAGUUUGGGUUGGCAUCCUACUUUCUAUAAAGUGAGCUGACACCAUCCAUCUACACUUGCUUACCUGCUAGAGGCACAAAUCACAUCUAACACGGGGAUAUACUGUGUGUCAGACACCUGUAGGCUCCUUAGGAUAAUCUUACCAAUCUUAAAACACCCACAUGGUAGACAGUAAGUACUACCAUUCACGUUUUACAAUUAAGAACAUAGAUGAGGCUGAAGGAAGUGAAGCUGCCCAAGAACAAAAACUUCCAACAUUGAUUAAAAACAUUGGUCAUCAAGAAGCCAUUUCAGAAACUGAAAGAAUUUAUAAAAAUAUUUUAUUUUUGCCUUAACCAGUAGU
RNAcentral lists this long non-coding RNA (1264 nucleotides) under Oryctolagus cuniculus (rabbit). Its description in RNAcentral is "lncRNA (ENSOCUG00000037157.1)". The record is from RNAcentral. Lineage: Eukaryota; Metazoa; Chordata; Mammalia; Lagomorpha; Leporidae.